Molecule: ribosomal RNA, 229 nt
Filed under: uncultured bacterium
Lineage: Bacteria
Description: partial 16S ribosomal RNA
Rfam family: Bacterial small subunit ribosomal RNA
Source: RNAcentral
UGCGCAAGCGGAAUAAUAAGUCAGUGGUGAAAUCUCUCGGCUCAACCGAGAAACUGCCAUUGAUACUGUUAUUCUUGAGUAUAGUUGUAGUGGGCGGAAUAUAGCAUGUAGCGGUGAAAUGCUUAGAUAUGCUAUAGAACACCGAUCGCGAAGGCAGCUCACUAAACUAUAACUGACGCUCAGGCACGAAAGCGUGGGGAGCAAACAGGAUUAGAUACCCUGGUAGUCC